This is a non-coding RNA of Gorilla gorilla gorilla (western lowland gorilla), 147 nucleotides long. It matches the Rfam family "Metazoan signal recognition particle RNA". Rfam says of the family: The signal recognition particle (SRP) is a universally conserved ribonucleoprotein. It is involved in the co-translational targeting of proteins to membranes. The record is from Rfam. NCBI's taxonomy places the organism in Eukaryota, Metazoa, Chordata, Mammalia, Primates, Hominidae.
GCCAGGCAUGGUGGUGUGUGCCUGUAAUCCCACUACUCAGGAGGCAGAGACAGGAGGAUUGCUUGAGCCCAGGAGUUCGAGGUUGCUGUGAGCCAUAAUUGUGCCACUGCACUCCAGCCUGGGCAACAGAGAAAGACCCCAUCUCUA